RNAcentral lists this long non-coding RNA (1347 nucleotides) under Cyanistes caeruleus (blue tit). Its description in RNAcentral is "lncRNA (ENSCCEG00000009355.1)". The record is from RNAcentral. Lineage: Eukaryota; Metazoa; Chordata; Aves; Passeriformes; Paridae.
UGCCAGAAGAUUUUUAAAGUGCCUAUUUCUGCUUUAUUCACUUGUUGAUAUAACUUCACUCUAUGUGUGUUAGGUAGUAGAAUCAUAAAUUUUUUUCUUAUAUGGCUUACAGGAAAUGCGCCUUUGAUCUUUUGCCAAAUAGCUGGGAUUCUAUUUUUUCAACAGAAAGGUAUACAGGCACAAAAUCACCUCUACAUUGAAACGUAUUGCAAAGGGGGAAUCUGUAAAAAAGAACUUUGUUCCCUCAUAAUUUCAUGUGCUCAGAAGGGUAAUGGCGGUGUAAUGACAGCAGCCACUAGCACCCAGAAACCACAAACAGCAGGCACAAAUGCUUUCAACAUGGCCUCAUGGCUUUUUCCACUCCCACCUACAUUUGUUCUGCCAAGACCAGGCUCAAGUGCCUUUUCCAAAAAGAGAAGUUUGAACUAAUUUAAAGUUGUCUAGAUAUAUUUUGAAAGGGAUCACUCAACACCACUUAGCAUAUGGGCUGAUGCUUCUACAGCUUUUAGUGGCCAGCAGAUCCACUUUUCAAAUGAGCUUCUUGCUUCUCACAGAAUCAAGGAUCUUCUAUGGUACAAGUGAAACACUUAACAAACAAAAAUUGGUCCUCAGUUUCAGUUUUGCCUUCAUUAAUUAUUCCUUACAUAAUACAAAAAAUGCAACAAGUUAAUAUAUCUUACAUUCCUUGUGAAGAAGGGGUUAAAUUGAUGACCCAAGAAGACUUUUUAAAGGCCAUGGAUUAAUGUACUUUUAGUACUGUGAAUACCUCUACAGAGUAUUUUUGCUUCCUCUUCAUUAGAGGUAAGUAAUUCUGUGCUUUUAUAAUGUUACCCAGGUCUUCCCUUGAGGUUUUGAAAAUCCUAAUCUUAUUAAAACUUAUGUAAAUACCCUUGCCAUUAUUUCACGUCCUUUGUUUGGUUCCCAGGCAUGGAAUAUUUCCAUAGUAAAACUAAUCAAUUUACAUUGCUGGCCAUUUUAUUUACUAAAUAUAUAAACGCACAUUUUAAACAUUAUUCUGGCAAGAACUACGGCAUAGCUCUAUAUUAGUUAUCAAUUUAUUACUAUAUAUAUGUGUGUGUGUAUAUAUAUAUAUAUCCUCCACAGGCACUGUGUGCAUGCCUGUUUAUGACUUGCUUGGAAAAAAACCAUGGCAGAGAAGACACUGUAAUUUUGGAACAGUCAUUUCUAAGAAUGCUUGCUCCUUACCUCAACCCUCAAAAUCUGUUUGAUCAUAGGCUAUGUGAAGGAAAUUAGGCAAGUAUUUUGUAACUCCAAAAAUUAAACUUUUCUCUGUGUGUGCUGCUGAUGCUUCUACUGGAAGUUACUGCCAUAAAUGGCAAAUAAAAU